AGUGAACGCUGGCGGUAGGCCUAACACAUGCAAGUCGAACGGCAGCACAGUAAGAGCUUGCUCUUACGGGUGGCGAGUGGCGGACGGGUGAGGAAUACAUCGGAAUCUACUUUUUCGUGGGGGAUAACGUAGGGAAACUUACGCUAAUACCGCAUACGACCUACGGUUGAAAGCAGGGGAUCUUUGGACCUUGCGCGAUUGAAUGAGCCGAUGUCGGAUUAGCUAGUUGGCGGGGUAAAGGCCCACCAAGGCGACGAUCCGUAGCUGGUCUGAGAGGAUGAUCAGCCACACUGGAACUGAGACACGGUCCAGACUCCUACGGGAGGCAGCAGUGGGGAAUAUUGGACAAUGGGCGCAAGCCUGAUCCAGCCAUACCGCGUGGGUGAAGAAGGCCUUCGGGUUGUAAAGCCCUUUUGUUGGGAAAGAAAAGCAGCAGGUUAAUACCCCGCUGUUCUGACGGUACCCAAAGAAUAAGCACCGGCUAACUUCGUG
This 492-nucleotide ribosomal RNA is filed under the name uncultured bacterium. Its description in RNAcentral is "partial 16S ribosomal RNA". It matches the Rfam family "Bacterial small subunit ribosomal RNA", at positions 29 to 507 of the family's 1533-position model. The record is from RNAcentral.